AUUGAACGCUGGCGGCAGGCUUAACACAUGCAAGUCGAGCGGGGGAAGGUAGCUUGCUACCGGACCUAGCGGCGGACGGGUGAGUAAUGCUUAGGAAUCUGCCUAUUAGUGGGGGACAACAUCUCGAAAGGGAUGCUAAUACCGCAUACGUCCUACGGGAGAAAGCAGGGGAUCUUCGGACCUUGCGCUAAUAGAUGAGCCUAAGUCGGAUUAGCUAGUUGGUGGGGUAAAGGCCUACCAAGGCGACGAUCUGUAGCGGGUCUGAGAGGAUGGUCCGCCACACUGGGACUGAGACACGGCCCAGACUCCUACGGGAGGCAGCAGUGGGGAAUAUUGGACAAGGGGGGGAACCCUGAUCCAGCCAUGCCGCGUGUGUGAAGAAGGCCUUAUGGUUGUAAAGCACUUUAAGCGAGGAGGAGGCUACUUAGAUUAAUACUCUAGGAUAGUGGACGUUACUCGCAGAAUAAGCACCGGCUAACUCUGUGCCAGCAGCCGCCGUAA
RNAcentral lists this ribosomal RNA (501 nucleotides) under uncultured bacterium. RNAcentral's name for it is "partial 16S ribosomal RNA". It matches the Rfam family "Bacterial small subunit ribosomal RNA", at positions 30 to 523 of the family's 1533-position model. The record is from RNAcentral.